GUGGGGAAUUUUGGACAAUGGGCGCAAGCCUGAUCCAGCCAUGCCGCGUGCAGGAUGAAGGCCUUCGGGUUGUAAACUGCUUUUGUACGGAACGAAAAGACUCUGGUUAAUACCUGGGGUCCAUGACGGUACCGUAAGAAUAAGCACCGGCUAACUACGUGCCAGCAGCCGCGGUAAUACGUAGGGUGCGAGCGUUAAUCGGAAUUACUGGGCGUAAAGCGUGCGCAGGCGGUUAUGUAAGACAGAUGUGAAAUCCCCGGGCUCAAGCUGGGAACGGCAUUUGUGACUGCAUAGGUAGAGUACGGCAGAGGGGGAUGGAAUUCCGCGUGGAGCAGUGAAAUGCGUAGAUAUGCGGAGGAACAACGAUGGCGAAGGCAAUCCCCUGGGCCUGUACUGACGCUCAUGCACGAAAGCGUGGGGAGCAAACAGGAUUAGAAACCCGGGUAGUCC
RNAcentral lists this ribosomal RNA (450 nucleotides) under uncultured bacterium. RNAcentral's name for it is "partial 16S ribosomal RNA". It matches the Rfam family "Bacterial small subunit ribosomal RNA", at positions 354 to 796 of the family's 1533-position model. The record is from RNAcentral.